RNAcentral lists this long non-coding RNA (1306 nucleotides) under Mus pahari (shrew mouse). RNAcentral's name for it is "predicted gene 44850 (MGP_PahariEiJ_G0002217.1)". The record is from RNAcentral. Lineage: Eukaryota; Metazoa; Chordata; Mammalia; Rodentia; Muridae.
AUGCCAGCCUUUGAGCAGCUGCUCAACCCAGUCUUGGAAAAUGAAAUGGGAGAGCUCCCCAACUGUAUUUUUGGAACUUCCUGUGAAUGGCUCUCUAACUCCCUGAAUGGCUGCUCUCCACCCUACACUCGUGAGAUGAAGAAAACUCACCAGGGAACCUGCAGGAUAAGAGAGAAAUGCACCAAAAACCUUCUGGUGGUGUGCUGCAGCUUCUUGCUGCCUUCUGGACUUGGGCUGACUGGCAGAGUGAUGUCAGCCAAUACAGACUCACGUGGAGUUUUGCUAAGGCAGACUCGACUGCUGAGACAAGACACAUGGUGAAGCAAGACCCAUGGAGGACACAUGAUGUUUGGAGGGAGUAUUAAUAGGACUCAACAGACUGUGAGAGAGGCUGGCUUACAUAGCUAUCUUUGCAAAACUUCUUGGUCUCAUGUCUUCCCUGAUCUUUGCUUCACUGAGAGAAGCACAGCCAAGAGCUUAUCCUGGUGGCCUUGGUGAUCCUGGUGGCUCCUGCUGACGUGUCCCGAUUCGGCUGAGGCCUGGCUGAUCCUGCUGGGUCCUGCCACCACUGCUGAUUCGUGUUUGCUAUCCCGACACUACAGAACUGGAAUGCUGGUACAUUCAUGAAGUAUUUGCAAGUGGAUAGAGCUGCCACUGAUGAAUUCUGUGAACUGAACUGCUGAUUUCCUGACAACGCAGAUGAGAUUUGCUCCAAAGAACAAUUUCCAAACAAGUCCACUUCCCCGAAUCCAAUUAAUCUUUCCCUUCCACUACCUCUGAUGGGUGGUGGGCUAGAAGGAAGGUUAAAGCAUUUAAGAACCCAUAUUAAAAGUAGGCUUUGAAAAAAACUAAGACAACAAUAUAAUAAUGGAUGAAACAAUGCAAACUUAAAGCCAAGUUACGGAAGGUCUGAAAAAGUAAUACAAAGUUUAUGAGGAAUGAGUUUAUUAAUGUUCCCAAGGAUAUAACAAUCUAGUCAUGAUAGUAAAGAUUUAAAGUGUGUGUCUAAUCACUUAUAUCUUCUCUAGUUUUGUUAAGCUUUGCCAUCUGGGAAAACGGAGUCCCAGCAAUAGAGAUAGUAAUGAUUCAUUGCACACAGUUUCAUCCUAUGAAUGUCUAUUUAAGAAAUCUGUCUGAUCUGCUCUCCUGAAUUAUGAAGAAAAUGAGCUUGCUUGAGAAAAAAAAUAAUGUCAGAUGCUAACAUUCCAGGAAAUCUCAUUUUAGAAAUGAGGAUUCCAAAAUAAAAGAAAAUGCCUGUUUGGGGAAAAAUAAAUGCUAAGAAGGGAUAAAGUCACCUUUCAGUUUG